This 434-nucleotide ribosomal RNA is filed under the name uncultured Clostridium sp. RNAcentral's name for it is "partial 16S ribosomal RNA". It matches the Rfam family "Bacterial small subunit ribosomal RNA", at positions 341 to 792 of the family's 1533-position model. The record is from RNAcentral. Lineage: Bacteria; Bacillati; Bacillota; Clostridia; Eubacteriales; Clostridiaceae.
ACGGAAGGCAGCAGUGGGGGAUAUUGCACAAUGGGGGAAACCCUGAUGCAGUGACGCCGCGUGAGUGAAGAAGUAUUUCGGUAUGUAAAGCUCUAUCAGCAGGAAAGAUAAUGACGGUACCUGACUAAGAAGCACCGGCUAAAUACGUGCCAGCAGCCGCGGUAAUACGUAUGGUGCAAGCGUUAUCCGGAUUUACUGGGUGUAAAGGGGGCGCAGACGGCAUGGCAAGCCAGAUGUGAAAGGCAGGGGCUCAACCCCUGGAGUGCAUUUGGAACUGUCAAGCUAGAGUAUCGGAGAGGUAAGUGGAAUUCCUAGUGUAGCGGUGAAAUGCGUAGAUAUUAGGAGGAACACCAGUGGCGAAGGCGGCUUACUGGACGAUAACUGACGUUGAGGCUCGAAAGCGUGGGGAGCAAACAGGAUUAGAUACCCUGGUA